AGUGAACGCUGGCGGCGUGCUUAACACAUGCAAGUCGAACGAGAACGGAUUAUAGCUUGCUAUAAUUGUCAGCUAAGUGGCGCACGGGUGAGUAAUGUAUAGGUAAUAUGCCUCUUACUAAGGGAUAACAAAUGAAAACGUUUGCUAAUACCUUAUACUCCUUAUUAACAUAAGUUAAUAAGGGAAAGAUUUAUUGAUAAGAGAUUAGCCUGUAUUGUAUCAGUUAGUUGGUGGGGUAAUGGCUUACCAAGACUAUGACACAUAACUGGUUUGAGAGGAUGAUCAGUCACACUGGAACUGAGACACGGUCCAGACUCCUACGGGAGGCAGCAGUGGGGAAUAUUGCACAAUGGACGAAAGUCUGAUGCAGCAACGCCGCGUGGAGGAUGACACAUUUCGGUGCGUAAACUCCUUUUAUAUGAGAAGAUAAUGACGGUAUUAUAUGAAUAAGCACCGGCUAACUCCGUGCCAGCCGCCGCGGUAA
RNAcentral lists this ribosomal RNA (484 nucleotides) under uncultured bacterium. RNAcentral describes it as "partial 16S ribosomal RNA". It matches the Rfam family "Bacterial small subunit ribosomal RNA", at positions 29 to 523 of the family's 1533-position model. The record is from RNAcentral.